GGGGAAACCCAGUGUGACUCGUCACACUAUCAUUAACUGAAUCCAUAGGUUAAUGAGGCGAACCGGGGGAACUGAAACAUCUAAGUACCCCGAGGAAAAGAAAUCAACCGAGAUUCCCCCAGUAGCGGCGAGCGAACGGGGAGGAGCCCAGAGCCUGAAUCAGCAUGUGUGUUAGUGGAAGCGUCUGGAAAGGCGCGCGAUACAGGGUGACAGCCCCGUACACAAAAGCGCAUGUGCUGUGAGCUCGAUGAGUAGGGCGGGACACGUGGUAUCCUGUCUGAAUAUGGGGGGACCAUCCUCCAAGGCUAAAUACUCCUGACUGACCGAUAGUGAACCAGUACCGUGAGGGAAAGGCGAAAAGAACCCCGGCGAGGGGAGUGAAAAAGAACCUGAAACCGUGUACGUACAAGCAGUGGGAGCACAGGUUUACCUGUGUGACUGCGUACCUUUUGUAUAAUGGGUCAGCGACUUAUAUUCUGUAGCAAGGUUAACCGAAUAGGGGAGCCGGAGGGAAACCGAGUCUUAAUUGGGCGUUAAGUUGCAGGGUAUAGACCCGAAACCCGGUGAUCUAGCCAUGGGCAGGUUGAAGGUUGGGUAACACUAACUGGAGGACCGAACCGACUAAUGUUGAAAAAUUAGCGGAUGACCUGUGGCUGGGGGUGAAAGGCCAAUCAAACCGGGAGAUAGCUGGUUCUCCCCGAAAGCUAUUUAGGUAGCGCCUCGUGAAUUCAUCUCCGGGGGUAGAGCACUGUUUCGGCUAGGGGGCCAUCCCGGCUUACCAACCCGAUGCAAACUGCGAAUACCGGAGAAUGUUAUCACGGGAGACACACGGCGGGUGCUAACGUCCGUCGUGAAGAGGGAAACAACCCAGACCGCCAGCUAAGGUCCCAAAGUCAUGGUUAAGUGGGAAACGAUGUGGGAAGGCCCAGACAGCCAGGAUGUUGGCUUAGAAGCAGCCAUCAUUUAAAGAAAGCGUAAUAGCUCACUGGUCGAGUCGGCCUGCGCGGAAGAUGUAACGGGGCUAAACCAUGCACCGAAGCUGCGGCAGCGAACGUAUCACUUAAAGCGAUUCAGCGGGUUACGAUUGACGGAGCGAAGCGACGUCAAAGCGUAUACAAAGUCGAGUCGGUUUAAGGAUACGUUCGUUGGGUAGGGGAGCGUUCUGUAAGCCUGUGAAGGUGGCCUGUGAGGGUUGCUGGAGGUAUCAGAAGUGCGAAUGCUGACAUAAGUAACGAUAAAGCGGGUGAAAAGCCCGCUCGCCGGAAGACCAAGGGUUCCUGUCCAACGUUAAUCGGGGCAGGGUGAGUCGACCCCUAAGGCGAGGCCGAAAGGCGUAGUCGAUGGGAAACGGGUUAAUAUUCCCGUACUUGGUGUUACUGCGAAGGGGGGACGGAGAAGGCUAUGUUGGCCGGGCGACGGUUGUCCCGGUUUAAGCGUGUAGGUGUGUGUUCCAGGUAAAUCCGGUUCACUUUAACACUGAGGCGUGACGACGAGGCACUACGGUGCUGAAGCAACAAAUGCCCUGCUUCCAGGAAAAGCCUCUAAGCAUCAGGUAACAUCAAAUCGUACCCCAAACCGACACAGGUGGUCAGGUAGAGAAUACCAAGGCGCUUGAGAGAACUCGGGUGAAGGAACUAGGCAAAAUGGUGCCGUAACUUCGGGAGAAGGCACGCUGACACGUAGGUGAAGUGAUUUACUCAUGGAGCUGAAGUCAGUCGAAGAUACCAGCUGGCUGCAACUGUUUAUUAAAAACACAGCACUGUGCAAACACGAAAGUGGACGUAUACGGUGUGACGCCUGCCCGGUGCCGGAAGGUUAAUUGAUGGGGUCAGCGCAAGCGAAGCUCCUGAUCGAAGCCCCGGUAAACGGCGGCCGUAACUAUAACGGUCCUAAGGUAGCGAAAUUCCUUGUCGGGUAAGUUCCGACCUGCACGAAUGGCGUAAUGAUGGCCAGGCUGUCUCCACCCGAGACUCAGUGAAAUUGAACUCGCUGUGAAGAUGCAGUGUACCCGCGGCAAGACGGAAAGACCCCGUGAACCUUUACUAUAGCUUGACACUGAACAUUGAGCCUUGAUGUGUAGGAUAGGUGGGAGGCUUUGAAGCGUGGACGCCAGUCUGCGU
RNAcentral lists this ribosomal RNA (2120 nucleotides) under Salmonella enterica subsp. enterica serovar Kottbus. Its description in RNAcentral is "partial 23S ribosomal RNA". It matches the Rfam family "Bacterial large subunit ribosomal RNA", at positions 120 to 2181 of the family's 2925-position model. Lineage: Bacteria; Pseudomonadati; Pseudomonadota; Gammaproteobacteria; Enterobacterales; Enterobacteriaceae. The record is from RNAcentral.